RNAcentral lists this ribosomal RNA (791 nucleotides) under uncultured Tricholomataceae. RNAcentral's name for it is "eukaryotic LSU rRNA". The stretch from base 303 to 456 matches the Rfam family "5.8S ribosomal RNA". Lineage: Eukaryota; Fungi; Basidiomycota; Agaricomycetes; Agaricales; Tricholomataceae. The record is from RNAcentral.
CUUGGUCAUUUAGAGGAAGUAAAAGUCGUAACAAGGUUUCCGUAGGUGAACCUGCGGAAGGAUCAUUAUUGAAAUGUUAUGGUGAAGGGGGCUACGUUGCUGGCUUUUAACAAGGCAUGUGCACAGUUCUCUUCUCCAAACUAUUCAUCCACCUGUGCACUUUUUGUAGGAGUUUUAUUAGGUUGGCUCGAGUCGAAAGGCUUGUUCGUUGACUUGAUAAGACUUCUAUGUCUUUACAAACCUUUGAAGUAUGUUAAGAAUGUCAUUUUAUUGGGGCUUUAUUGACCCUUUAAACUUUAUACAACUUUCAGCAACGGAUCUCUUGGCUCUCCCAUCGAUGAAGAACGCAGCGAAAUGCGAUAAGUAAUGUGAAUUGCAGAAUUCAGUGAAUCAUCGAAUCUUUGAACGCACCUUGCGCCCUCUGGUAUUCCGGAGGGCAUGCCUGUUUGAGUGUCAUUAAAUUCUCAACUUCAUAAGUUUUUAUUAACUUUGUGAAGCUUGGAUGUGGAGGUUUGCUGGCGUCUCAGAUGUUCAGCUCCUCUUAAAUAUAUUAGUGGAACCCCGUUUUGUUGGUCCAUCUUGGUGUGAUAAUUAUCUACGCUUUGUUUGGUUCAACUUGUCAGGUUAAGCCUUUGAUUAGGUUGUCCUGGUUGGGAUAUUGCAUUAGUUUGCUUUAUCUGAUGGGAAAGUCUGCUUUCUAACCGUCUGUGUAUGCGGACAAUUUAUUGACUAUUUGACCUCAAAUCAGGUAGGACUACCCGCUGAACUUAAGCAUAUCAAUAAGCGGAGGA